This 157-nucleotide ribosomal RNA is filed under the name Botryotinia convoluta. RNAcentral's name for it is "5.8S ribosomal RNA". It matches the Rfam family "5.8S ribosomal RNA". From Rfam's summary of the family: 5.8S ribosomal RNA (5.8S rRNA) is a component of the large subunit of the eukaryotic ribosome. It is transcribed by RNA polymerase I as part of the 45S precursor that also contains 18S and 28S rRNA. Lineage: Eukaryota; Fungi; Ascomycota; Leotiomycetes; Helotiales; Sclerotiniaceae. The record is from RNAcentral.
AACUUUCAACAACGGAUCUCUUGGUUCUGGCAUCGAUGAAGAACGCAGCGAAAUGCGAUAAGUAAUGUGAAUUGCAGAAUUCAGUGAAUCAUCGAAUCUUUGAACGCACAUUGCGCCCCUUGGUANNCCGGGGGGCAUGCCUGUUCGAGCGUCAUNU